GAUGAAGAACGCAGCGAAAUGCGAUAAGUAAUGUGAAUUGCAGAAUUCAGUGAAUCAUCGAAUCUUUGAACGCACAUUGCGCCCGCCAGUAUUCUGGCGGGCAUGCCUGUUCGAGCGUCAUUUCAACCAUCAAGCCCCCGGCUUGUGUUGGGGACCUGCGGCUGCCGCAGGCCCUGAAAACCAGUGGCGGGCUCGCUAGUCACUCCGAGCGUAGUAAUACAUCUCGCUCAGGGCGUGCUGCGGGUUCCGGCCGUUAAAAAAGCCUUAUUUACCCAAGGUUGACCUCGGAUCAGGUAGGAAGACCCGCUGAACUUAAGCAUCUCAAUAAGCGGAGGA
Molecule: unclassified non-coding RNA, 336 nt
Filed under: soil metagenome
Description: partial contains 5.8S ribosomal RNA, internal transcribed spacer 2, and large subunit ribosomal RNA
Rfam family: 5.8S ribosomal RNA (bases 1-120)
Source: RNAcentral